UGUGUCAGUUUUCGGGCGGCGUCUACAGCGCUAUGACCGCUACGGCGCGGUUGUCAAGUGACAGCCGGCGCGGUGAACGAUCGUGGGGGAUAACGGAGCGAAAGCUUUGCUAAUACCGCAUACGAUCUACGGAUGAAAGCGGGGGAUCUUCGGACCUCGCGCGGACGGAGCGGCCGAUGGCAGAUUAGGUAGUUGGUGGGAUAAAAGCUUACCAAGCCGACGAUCUGUAGCUGGUCUGAGAGGAUGAUCAGCCACACUGGGACUGAGACACGGCCCAGACUCCUACGGGAGGCAGCAGUGGGGAAUUUUGGACAAUGGGGGCAACCCUGAUCCAGCCAUGCCGCGUGCAGGAUGAAGGCCUUCGGGUUGUAAACUGCUUUUGUACGGAACGAAAAGACUCUGGUUAAUACCUGGGGUCCAUGACGGUACCGUAAGAAUAAGCACCGGCUAACUACGUGC
RNAcentral lists this ribosomal RNA (459 nucleotides) under Betaproteobacteria bacterium. Its description in RNAcentral is "bacterial SSU rRNA". It matches the Rfam family "Bacterial small subunit ribosomal RNA", at positions 67 to 508 of the family's 1533-position model. The record is from RNAcentral. Lineage: Bacteria; Pseudomonadati; Pseudomonadota; Betaproteobacteria.